This is a non-coding RNA of Paramuricea clavata, 655 nucleotides long. The record is from the annotation of a GenBank genome assembly. NCBI's taxonomy places the organism in Eukaryota, Metazoa, Cnidaria, Anthozoa, Malacalcyonacea, Plexauridae.
GGCCCGAGGAAAUUUUUAAAUUUAGAGUCUCUGAAAUGCCAUUUCCUGGACUUUGGGGAAGAUUUGCCAGAUUUCUGAUUGUCAGAAAACAGCAUUUUUAGUAUGUGGAAAUUUAGAAUUCAGUAGUACUAAAUGGGCGAAGGCGUAUUUAAUUAACGAUAUAUUGGAUAAGUUGCAGGAAAGUAUGGGUAAUAUCUUCAUUCUUUGCAGUUUGUCAUGGAUUAAAUGAUAAAGGUCUGCAUGAUUUUGAAAAAUGAAUGAUUAUUAGCAAAUUAUUGGGGGCUGCAGCUCCCCAGCCCCCCUCCCGCCCCCUGGAGAGGGUCUGAAGUUUUCUCUCCCAGAAAAUUUUUGUAUUUUUCUACCCCUAUGACUGCAAUUCCCUGCAUUUUCUGAAACAGAUUUUUGGAUAUACAGCAUUACAUUAUGCUGUAGAUAGACUGAACCUUCAGUUAAGUACUUGCUGACUUGCAUAGUAUGUUUAUGUAGAUACCACAACUUGGCCGUCACUUAGGGAGCCAGCUUGAUAAACUUAGAGUUCCCGACUCCCACGAAGCGCCACCAUGGUUGGCACAGAGCGGAAAAAUUUUGAAAAUUGUGCGUCUCUAAAUCGUCGGAAAUGGCAUUUUCAAAGUCUUCUAUACGUCUUUUGUUAGGC